UCUAAUUCGGACAGGGUGGGUUGGGGCCCAAUGUAACACACCAGAGAACUCCUGCGCGACCAAACCCUGCCAUAAUGGUGCUACCUGUACAGAUGUGCCGACCAACAACUACCAAUGUACCUGUUUAAAAGGGUGGACAGGAAAGACCUGCGAAACGUUCGCAUUGCCUCAAAAUGUGAGGACAACUAUUCUCACCUCCGCAACAACAGCUUCGAUUACGUCAUCGACUCCUACUACUCUUCUCUCAACGUUGUCAUCAACACAGAAACUAAACACGUCAUCAUCACAGGGACCAGUGAGUGUAACAACACCAAAAGGAUUGACGUCAUCAACAUCACAGUGGCCUAUGAAUGCAACAACACCAAAAGGAUUGACGUCAUCAACACAUCAACUCGGCACGUCAUCAUCACAAAGACCAGUCUUGUCAACAACACAAAAAGGAUCGAGGUCAACAACACAACGUGUCAUCAGUAGUAGUCAUAUUACGUCACAGCAUAGUACACCACACACAUCGGGUAUAGACAGUACAGCUGAUCCGUUAGCCACGCCCACUACAACGCACACCAUACCAAACAGCGCAUUCUGUCAGAUAGCUUUCAACCUUAUAAAUGGAACAAAUGUGACAAAGAUACAGCUGUCCGGUUUUGAUAAAAUGAGAUUGAGUGCCAGAAAUGUAGAAAGGACACUGACACAAAAUGUCAACCCAAG
Pecten maximus is the source of this 708-nucleotide RNA transcript. RefSeq lists it as uncharacterized. The record is from RefSeq and is a predicted model, not a curated record. NCBI's taxonomy places the organism in Eukaryota, Metazoa, Mollusca, Bivalvia, Pectinida, Pectinidae. The transcript is spliced from 3 exons.